AUUCGUCCCACGAAUUGGGUUUCGUCCCAUAUUUGCCCUAAUAUUCUCGAUCCAUUCCAAAAUUCUCUAUCUCCUCUUCUCUUCUCAACUCAGUGACGGCAGCAGCGCGCAAUCCCUCUUCUUCGUCGAUGUCUCCGGCAGGUAAGCUUCAUUACUCUCCCAUCUCCUCUCCGGCGUUUUCGGCGCAUUGCGGCCAGCCGUGCCUUGUCGGCGCGGCUGGCCUUGCACGGCAGCUGCGGGGCGCCGGAUCUGGCCUUGGCUGGCCCGCUGGCGGCCAGGGUCGGCCGCUGGCGGCCCCCUGUCGGCCUCUGGUGGCCCAGGCGGCCGCUGGUUGGCCAGGAGGGCCGCUAGCGGCCGAUCGUCGCCCCCCUGGGCCGCUGUGGCCCCCUGGCCGCUACCGGGCCGGAGUGGCCGCUGCCGGCCCCUAGGUGCACCGGAUGCAUACUGCCUUCAGGGACUAUGAGAGGAGUUACGACGCCCACAUCGUAGGGUCACUUCACUAUGCCAGUGACACUUUCUCAGAGAGGAUGUCGGACCUCGUCUACGCUGUCAAGGGCAAGGACACCCUAGUCUUUCAUUGCGCCCUCAGCCAGGUCGCCCCUUUUCUUCUCUUGUCAAUUGUUGUGGCUGGUGUGUUGGUGGUGAACUCCACUGCUGUGCGUGGUGGUUUUAGCUUGUAGCAAUGAUCCUCAAGAUGAGAAUGACGUAGGGUGCUACAAGGGGAGGUUUUGCAGAAAAAGAAUGGUUAUUCUUGCUGAUACAAUCUUGCCUAAGAUUGAAAGUAACAAGUUUAAUGAGAUUGUGGAUCCAACAUGUGCAGACAACAUGUGCAGCAAUAGCAGAAUAGAGUCUAAACUAGAGAAUACAAAUUAGAACAUAUCAGAGAUGACCAUUCAUCGGAAAUGUGUAUUCCUUUUGAGGAAAGAAGUUUGAAGGUGAUUGUGUUGAAGGCAACGGACAAGCAAUCAAAAAAGUUGUAGCUGGUAUUGGAAUUAUCAAGGAAAAGAAGAAAGGAAAAGAAGGCGAAUGCAGCUCAGGAUGACGAUUUGUAUUUUUUUUUUUUUUUUUUUGCUUUGGAUGCCUCGUUAGAUUUGUUGUUUGGAUUAUGACUUGUUGACCUUUGGUAUUUUGAAUAUUAUAUGACUUGUUGUUUGGAUGUUGUUUAUUUGUGUAUGAAUAUGAUGUGUUUAGUUUUGAAUGACUUUUUGGAAUGUUGGA
This is an RNA transcript of Zingiber officinale, 1218 nucleotides long. RefSeq lists it as uncharacterized. Lineage: Eukaryota; Viridiplantae; Streptophyta; Magnoliopsida; Zingiberales; Zingiberaceae. The transcript has 6 exons. The record is from RefSeq and is a predicted model, not a curated record.